Molecule: ribosomal RNA, 207 nt
Filed under: uncultured bacterium
Lineage: Bacteria
Description: partial 16S ribosomal RNA
Rfam family: Bacterial small subunit ribosomal RNA
Source: RNAcentral
CUUGUAGGCGGUCCGUUAAGUCUGGUGUGGAAUCUCCCGGCUCAACCGGGAGGGGUCAUCGGAUACUGGCGGACUAGAGACGGGUAGAGGAAAGCAGAAUUCCCGGUGUAGCGGUGAAAUGCGUAGAUAUCGGGAGGAAUACCAGUGGCGAAGGCGGCUUUCUGGGCCUGUUCUGACGCUGAGGAGCGAAAGCGUGGGGAGCAAACC